Molecule: long non-coding RNA, 1806 nt
Organism: Lagopus muta (rock ptarmigan)
Lineage: Eukaryota; Metazoa; Chordata; Aves; Galliformes; Phasianidae
Exons: 3
Source: RefSeq, a predicted model, not a curated record
CAAUAGUAACAUCUCUCCAGCCAUGGGAUUAAAUGGCAUGAUUCAGAGCCGUUGCUCUGUUGCUGCACAGUGGGUCCAGAGGAGGCCGUGAAGAUGAUCAGAGGGCUGGAGCACCUAUUCUGUGAAGAAAGGAGAAAGAAAGGUAACUUGGGAUUGAAGGGGAGUAAUCAUCUCACUGUUCAACUCCAGGAACCAAGCACCAAGCACUAAAAACUUGCCAUUUGUGGCUGCUGAUUUCCUAUAACCCCAUCACUUGAGGGCUCUGGACUUUAUGAUUCAGAAUUUCUUUGAGAUAUUUACUUAACAACUACAGAAUUUCACGCAGAGGCACAGCUACGAUUGCCAAAGAGCUAUGUUGACAAGUGCUCGGACUGCAGUGCCCAAGCCUAAGGCUGUGACUCUACCUGUGCCAGAAGACAGCUGACAUCUGGAAACCAAAUUUCAUUACAGUUACCCACGUUUGAACUUUGCCCUUUGGACACAGACAGGAGUCACUCAUCAAAGCCACAAAAAGGCACAAAUCUCAUAAUGAGCCCUGCAGUGGCUGAUACACAUUCCUCAGUUUAUUUCAAUUACAGGUCAGAUUCUGUAAUCACCUGAAGAACUCUGCGUUAUAUCUGAUCCUCUACAACAACACCCACAGGUAUACAUAACUCUAGACAGCCAAUGGGAGAUCAAGACAGCAUCACAUUUGCUUGGCUUCUCAAAAAACUCAUCUGGAAGAGCCUAAACAACCUAGUACAAAUCCUUUUUGUACAACUUAUCUUCAGUAGGAACACUGCACUGAAUCUGUGUUCAUAAAUGUUAAUCAUUCCCUUCAGUUCACCCAUAAUUAUUACUGUUCUCCUUAGAAAUGAUAUUUAUAAGCUAGUCUGCUAAGAAACUUAGCUCAGAGGCUUUGUAUUUCCACUUUUUCUCUUAUACUGCAAAUAUUGAAUGAUGGAAGUAUGACAGUCAUUAUGAUCCCUAUCUAUUUUGGAGAUAUUUUUAGUUUUCUCGCAAUUAUAUACUGCGGUCCAGGGUUAGCAAUCUAUGUCAAAGUACUUACAGAAUUCAUCAUGUAUAGGCACCUAAUUACUCUGCAAGAAAUUAAUUAGUGUCUUAACAAGGUAAUUUAAGGAACAAACUACAGAAGUUUCAGACAAAUUUAUCACUGCUCUUUUCUAGCCACGUGACAUGUUUUCUCAACCCCGUGAGAGACUGGCUUGGAGCUUUGUCAGGGGAGGAUCACACUGGGUAUUAGGGAAAGGUCCUGCACAAGAGGGCAGUGGGCAUGGAGGAGGGUGCCCAGGGCAGUGGGCACAGCCCCAAGUGUUGGAAUUCAAGAAGUGUUUGGGCAGAACUCUCAGACAUAGGGUUUGGAUUUUGGGUGGUGUUGUAUGGAGAUGCUAAAGCUACUAUGGAUGUCAGCCUAAGUAGAAGGCUUCAUCCUGUAAAUAAGAGUUUGUACACAGUUCAGAAGUAGUGAAGUAUGAACUGUUCAAUGUUAUUACUGUUCAGUGAAGUGCUUCCUGUGAACAGAGGCAGACCUUCCUCCACUGACUUGAAUCAUAGCACUAGAUUUCUAAUACAUUCCCUUUGGUUUACCCAUCUGGCUUUAUUAACAUAGCAAACACAAAGUCUUUCAGACCUCAUUUUCCUUGCUUUUUACUGAUUUAUGGUCCUUUCCUUCCCCGUUACCAGAGGCGGAAAUCUUAAACAUCAACAUGCGGUGUAAAAGUGGCAGAUACAGAAGUGCUGCUUACCAAAAUCACAGAAUUAUCGGCAUGAUUUUCUCAAACACAUUCAAUAUAUAUUUUUUUUUUA